AGAGUUUGAUCAUGGCUCAGGAUGAACGCUAGCGGCAGGCCUAAUACAUGCAAGUCGAACGGACCGCAAGGUCAGUGGCAAACGGGUGCGUAACGCGUAAUCAACCUACCCUCUACUGGGGUCUAGCCCGGCGAAAGCUGGGGUAAUCCCGCAUACGUCCCUUCCGUGGCUUCACGGGGGGGGGAAAGGUUUACUGGUGGAGGAGGGGAUUGCGUCUGAUUAGGUAGUUGGUGGGGUAACGGCUCACCAAGCCGAUGAUCAGUASGGGCUCUGAGAGGAGGGUCCCCCACAUGGACACUGCGACACGGGUCCAACUUCUACGGGAGGCAGCASUANGGAAUAUUGGGCAAUGGGC
Molecule: ribosomal RNA, 355 nt
Filed under: uncultured bacterium GKS2-142
Lineage: Bacteria; Pseudomonadati; Bacteroidota
Description: bacterial SSU rRNA
Rfam family: Bacterial small subunit ribosomal RNA
Source: RNAcentral